This 467-nucleotide ribosomal RNA is filed under the name uncultured bacterium. RNAcentral's name for it is "partial 16S ribosomal RNA". It matches the Rfam family "Bacterial small subunit ribosomal RNA", at positions 28 to 506 of the family's 1533-position model. The record is from RNAcentral.
GACGAACGCUGGCGGCGUGCUUAACACAUGCAAGUCGAACGGAAAGGCCCUGCUUUUGUGGGGUGCUCGAGUGGCGAACGGGUGAGUAACACGUGAGUAACCUGCCCUUGACUUUGGGAUAACUUCAGGAAACUGGGGCUAAUACCGGAUAGGAGCUCCUGCUGCAUGGUGGGGGUUGGAAAGUUUCGGCGGUUGGGGAUGGACUCGCGGCUUGUCAGCUUGUUGGUGGGGUAGUGGCUUACCAAGGCUUUGACGGGUAGCCGGCCUGAGAGGGUGACCGGCCACAUUGGGACUGAGAUACGGCCCAGACUCCUACGGGAGGCAGCAGUGGGGAAUAUGGCACAAUGGGCGGAAGCCUGAUGCAGCAACGCCGCGUGCGGGAUGACGGCCUUCGGGUUGUAAACCGCUUUCGCCUGUGACGAAGCGUGAGUGACGGUAAUGGGUAAAGAAGCACCGGCUAACUACGU